Molecule: long non-coding RNA, 1166 nt
Organism: Micropterus salmoides (largemouth bass)
Lineage: Eukaryota; Metazoa; Chordata; Actinopteri; Centrarchiformes; Centrarchidae
Exons: 2
Source: RefSeq, a predicted model, not a curated record
CGACCGGUUAUACUUCUACUACGUAUGCGUCACCACUUCCGUGCAUGCACAGUAGAAGUACAACAGACCCUUACAACAGUGGAACCACUGUUGUAAGGGUCUGUUAAUAUGUUAAAAGAAGACGAUUGGGGUUCUGGUGUGAUAAAGUGGUUUGUCUUGCUGUGGCAACCAGGAUCUUAUGUACCUUUGUCUCUGUGCCUUUUCUCACACACACUCUACACAAAUUACACACAUCCAUCUGGAACCCACAGAUAGCACGGUACUCAAGUUGUGCUCCAUGCCAUCUCUGUGAGGGCAGAUAGAGCGUGUACCCAAUUUUGGUUCCUAACCCUUUGUUUUAGCUUCGCGGGCCUGCCCGCCAUUUUGGAUCAUGGAGCGACUGGACAGUCCCUACACUACUGACUUUACAGAUUCUUCACACUCAUUGGUUUCACUUAUUUUCUUAAUCAUCUUGUUAUUUAGUUUUCCCCUGUGUCUCCCGUUUUUGUUCAGUCCAUGAGCCGGGCUGUGACAAAUACGGGAGAUUAGCUUAUACUGUUCUAGCUCAAGUGUUUUAAGUUCUGUCUCAUUUUCUCAGCCGUCCAAAAACAGUUCUUUUUGCUGAUCAAAAAUAAAGCCAGGAUUUUAGCAAAGACCAGAGGUAGAAUCAAAAGGAUGCACAGUGCCCUUGAAAACGCCAUCCUCAAACAAGUUAUCCUUCAAAAUAGAUUUCCUGUAGCACUUAAUGCAAUUUACUAUUCUACUGUACUGUGGACAUGUGGUACCAACACACCAGAGACAAGUUCCACUAAUUACACAUUUCAGUCCCUAAUCACAAACUCCACCUACCAAGCCGCAGCUUUCCUUGAUACCUUACCAAGUCUUCCUGAGAAGACAGGGGGAAAGAGUGGACAAAUUGCACUACUCCAAGUUACCAGAAACAUUACAAAGGCCAAAAGAAACAGAUCGCAUUGGACGAGCCCCCAUUUGUCACAGCCCGGCUCAUGGACUGGACAAAAAAAGGGAGACACACAGAAUGCCUGCCAGUUCACGGACUCGGAUUCACUCCUGUGACACGGAACCCUCUGAGCUUCGUAGCUUGGACAUCAUGACCCUCGUAACGACCGCUCCCCCGAGCUACUUCUCUGUUCUCACUUGUGUUAAAUAAAUUCUCUCAUUGCACCUCC